AGGUAUAAUCUGCCCGGUGAAGAUUUUAACGGCCGCAGUAUUUUAACUGUGCGAAGGUAGCAUAAUAAGUUGUCCUUUAAUUGGGGGCUGGUAUGAAUGAUUGGACGAAAAUUGAGCUGUCUCGGUGAUUUAACAUGAAUUUAAAGGUUAAAUUAAAAUGUUUAAAUGUUGUCAAAAGACGAGAAGACCCUAUAGAUCUUUAUACUUGUAUACGUUUGUUAGGUAAGCAAUUGUGAUGCAGGUAUUUUGUUGGGGUGACAAGGAAUAAAAAGUAAAGAGGUAUGAAUGAACAUUCCUAUGUUUAACGGUGAUGAUUAUCAUGAUAAUUGUGUAUGAUCCGCGUGUAGCGAUGGUAGAAUAAGAUACCUUAGGGAUAACAGCGUAAUCUUUCUAGAGAGCUCUUAUCGACAGAAUUAGGGUUGCGACCUCGAUGUUGGAUUAAGGUGACUAUUUGGUGUAGCAGUUAAGUAGUUAGGUCUGUUCGACCU
This 488-nucleotide ribosomal RNA is filed under the name Echinosoma yorkense. Its description in RNAcentral is "partial 16S ribosomal RNA". It matches the Rfam family "Bacterial large subunit ribosomal RNA", at positions 1850 to 2587 of the family's 2925-position model. Lineage: Eukaryota; Metazoa; Arthropoda; Insecta; Dermaptera; Pygidicranidae. The record is from RNAcentral.